Molecule: ribosomal RNA, 253 nt
Filed under: uncultured bacterium
Lineage: Bacteria
Description: partial 16S ribosomal RNA
Rfam family: Bacterial small subunit ribosomal RNA
Source: RNAcentral
UACGUAGGGUGCAAGCGUUACUCGGAAUUACUGGGCGUAAAGCGUGCGUAGGCGGUUUGUUAAGUCCGUUGUGAAAGCCCUGGGCUCAACCUGGGAAUUGCAGUGGAUACUGGCGAGCUAGAGUGCGGUAGAGGAUGGUGGAAUUCCCGGUGUAGCGGUGAAAUGCGUAGAGAUCGGGAGGAACACCCGUGGCGAAGGCGGCCAUCUGGACCAGCACUGACGCUGAGGCACGAAAGCGUGGGGAGCAAACAGG